This is a long non-coding RNA of Notothenia coriiceps (black rockcod), 669 nucleotides long. RefSeq lists it as uncharacterized. The record is from RefSeq and is a predicted model, not a curated record. The transcript is spliced from 3 exons. Lineage: Eukaryota; Metazoa; Chordata; Actinopteri; Perciformes; Nototheniidae.
GAUUCGGAUUCACCCCCAGCUUAUGUCUUCUGACCCCAUAACGUAGCUCUGCACCUUGUUUGGUUUCUCCCACAGUCUCCUCUCCCUUUCUGUCUCUUUUUACUCUCCCCCACCUCCACCCCCCACCCCUCUUCCUUUCUGUCCAUCCCAGGGUUUAUCCCCUCAUCACUGAUCUCCCUUCAUCCCUCCAAUCCUCAUCUGUUCCUCAUAGGAGCAGUAGAGAGAGUGUGUGACGGAGGAAUAUCCCACUGUGUGUGUGUUUGUGUGUGUGUGUGUGUGUGUGUGUGUGACACCAACAGUGAAUGAGCGGGAGAAAGUGUAUCACAGGGCGGCUGAACUUAUGACAACGAGCAGAGGGGAGACCGCUGGAGGAAAAGUGAUUUAAGAACUGCCAAAGCACCCGGAGGACUCUCCUUAUCGGAUCAUCAUCUUUCUCUCCCUGUCUCCACUGGUGACCUAACGACCAGCGCCAUGGGUGAAAUGGAGGAAUUGCGGAAGGAGAUGGAAAAUCUGAAAGACCAGAUCACUGCAGCUCGUAAGACGUUUCAGGACUCCACGCUGCAGGAGGCGGCGGCCGGCGUCACGGUGGUGGGCCGGGUCCAGCUGAAGACCCGGAAAACUCUGAGGGGUCACCUGGCCAAGAUCUACGCCAUGCACUGGGGCACCGAC